Neomonachus schauinslandi (Hawaiian monk seal) is the source of this 446-nucleotide long non-coding RNA. RefSeq lists it as uncharacterized. The transcript is spliced from 4 exons. The record is from RefSeq and is a predicted model, not a curated record. NCBI's taxonomy places the organism in Eukaryota, Metazoa, Chordata, Mammalia, Carnivora, Phocidae.
UCUAAUGAAACUGUUUUGCCAAGAUGACUAACAACUACAUUUUCUCAAUUACAGUGAUCACUUCUCUGUCCUCAUCUUACUCGACUUCUCAGCAUCAGUUGAUGCAGUUGACAGUCUCCUCCUUCAUGGUCCCCUUGACAAAUCUAUGUCUCCCACACAUUUUGCCUGGUACCUUGCCUUUGACGUCUCCAGUGUGGAGAAAACUCUUCCCUCACCUCUCAACUCUGGGACUCAGACCCCCAGAUUGGCACAGCCUUAUUAUCUGUUUUGAAAAUUAAUUAAAGAGAAGCGACCUUCCCCCAAAGAUAGGAAAUUGUGUGAAGCUCUGUCAGUAGGUGGCACAGGAGAGACGUCUCAGGCUGGAAGGAUCUAGCCUGCAGUUGGCGUGUGCUCGCUCCAGCGCUUGGCCUUGCGUAGGCCUCUACAGUUCCCGGUUCCUGCAGUGC